AUUACCAAGAACAGACACAUGAAAUGCCUCUCUGUCUUCAAGGUUCUUGUACGCUAAUGCGGAAAAAUGGAAUACAUGAAAAAAAUGCUGCAUGUGCCUUGAGCGAACGCAUUGGAGAUGCAAUUUGUGCAUUCAAGAGGAUGUUGAAUCGGUUCCUGGGGAAGGCACCCUCUUCGUGUGAGAUUCUGCUGUGGUGUGAUAUGCGCCUGCACAUGCAUUGUUUGAUCUUGGCAACACCUCACAUAUAACCCAAGACCAAAAUAAAGUUACAUUCGGAAGGCAGUCACGAUUCAGUGAUCUUAUCCUGCAGAACGCCUUCUCUUGGCGUUUACAUCAUAUAAUUUGAUUACUGUAGCUCAGAAUAAAACACAUGUAAACAAGCCCAGCAAUCUUCGAAGAAAAUGCGGUUCCCACUGGAUGGGGCGGCUCGAUCGGGGAUCCUAGUGGAGUCGCUUCUGUCACUGUUCAGUCUUGGAGGAGAAGCUGCUUUCCUUUUCACACAACUGCCCUGGAAAUGUUCCCUGAGCCCGCCCUGCUUUGGUGCAGCCAGAGAAGCGACGAGCAAGGUGUCAGCACCCAGGAACCUGAUGGCCCCCGCGUGGCAGGUCUCACCAAGAACUCCUGCUCUGCUUUCUCCCGACAUUCACCUAUGGGCCUGACCCUCAGGACCUUGAACCCAUCUGCACCCUCAGGGAUGAUGCCCUCCUGUGGGCAAGAAGGCUCGGACCAGGGCAGCAGACAUGGAGUUUUCAACUACAAGUGGAAACUGAGUUGAAGGCCUCUGCAAAUCUGUUGCAAUUUCCAAUGCAUUGUUUUUUGUACAAGAAAAUGUUAUGUCAUAUCAUGGUGCUUAUGUUUUUUAAUUACCAGGCUGGAAAGUCCUUGAGCCUUUAUUCUGAUUCUUUUUUUUUUUUUUUUUUAAAUUUAUCCAUGAUGAAGAUCAAAUGGACGACAAGGAGAAAGGCAAGGUCCUUGGUUUCUCCAGCCUUGCUCUGUCAUGUUCCUCACCACUUGGUCAUAGAAAGUAGGACCACGGUCUCUGUGGCCUCCAAGGACUGCAAGAGAGGACUUGGGGUUGCAGGAACUGGCAGGGAGGAACUGGAGAAGCAAUUCAUGGGGACCCCACUAGAACUAACACUUGGGUUGUUUUUAGCCUCUCCACCUCUGUCUCCACAAUGAGGGACCAGCUAAGAGAGCCUAAUUACCUUCUUCCUUGCCAUCUUGGCUCUGUGUCCUGAGUCAAGACAGGCCGAGAAAUCCACAGUCCUCAAGGGUGAGCUGAAUGCAGAGCUCCCUAAAAUUUCCAUUUGCUUCAGAUUUGCAUUCAAUAUUUAUAUCUUCCACUUACUGGCUUUUUAAUCUGAAGGAAAUGGCUUAAUGUCUGUUUGAAAGGGCGGGACCAAGACUAACAUCUCUCUCAUAAGCUUACUGUAAAAAUGAAUUAAGAAACCUGCAUGAAAAGGCUUGCACAGUACUGGCACACAGAAGACACUCCAAAACCCUUACCCCCUUGCUUCCCGUUCCAGGGAACCUGGGGUAUCGGUCCCUGCCUGUGUGGGCCACCGGCAACGCACAUUGGCUCUUUCACAUUCGAAGCCCGCUGGACCGGCCCCAGACAUGUGACAUGGGCUGAUUGGAUUGAAUUGGAACUUUCAGUUCUGCCCUGAAUUGGUUCCCCUGUGUAGACAGUCUGUGUGAUAUCAGCCCUCCAGUUCAGGGAGAAAGAGGCUGUUUGGGCAUGGGUAUUAUUUUCUUAAAUGCAGAAUAAAACGGGAUCAGCAGGAUGUUUCAGUGAAAUAUCUCGUUUGAACUUUCCUAUUCAUUUGCUCUUUUAUGCAUUCGCAGCUAGGGGUUUCCAGCUGAUCCAUUUGAUUGCUCUCAUGUACAGAGUGUAGAGACAGCAAAGAGGGGAUUCCUGUAGAUUCUUAACUUGUUAACAAAGGCUGCUGUGACUGUGGCAAGCCCCAGAGCUGACAGCCAGUUUCAGUCCUUUGUAGGGGUUAAGAGAGGGAGACAAGGCAGGGAGAGAGGAGUAGGAAGUUUUAAUAGAGAUACUGAAUCUAAAAAGCACCAGGGCAUAGAGAAGGGCCAGGAGGAGGGAAGCCGUGAGUCCUGGAAACGCCACCAGCAGGACUCUGGACGUGGAGCCCCUCAGCUCAGUCCUGCUUCAGACUCCCACGGAGUAGAUAUUCUGUGAAUCAGCUGCUUCCCUUGUGACCCAGAGUGGCAGACCAAGCCUCAGGACACCCAGGGCUAGGCUUGGGACUGUCUGCUGCGUGGCCGGUCCUGCGUGGGCACAUCUCACAGCUUUCCCGUGGCUGUUUAUUUUUUUUUAAUUUGUACAAGUCACUUCCCCAGGGUCAUAC
Molecule: long non-coding RNA, 2366 nt
Organism: Mustela erminea (ermine)
Lineage: Eukaryota; Metazoa; Chordata; Mammalia; Carnivora; Mustelidae
Exons: 4
Source: RefSeq, a predicted model, not a curated record